Molecule: ribosomal RNA, 301 nt
Filed under: uncultured bacterium
Lineage: Bacteria
Description: partial 16S ribosomal RNA
Rfam family: Bacterial small subunit ribosomal RNA
Source: RNAcentral
CAGUAGCCGCGGUAGUACGUAGGUGACAAGCGUUGUCCGGAAUUAUUGGGCGUAAAGGGCUCGCAGGCGGUUUCUUAAGUCUGAUGUGAAAGCCCCCGGCUCAACCGGGGAGGGUCAUUGGAAACUGGGAAACUUGAGUGCAGAAGAGGAGAGUGGAAUUCCACGUGUAGCGGUGAAAUGCGUAGAGAUGUGGAGGAACACCAGUGGCGAAGGCGACUCUCUGGUCUAUAACUGACGCUGAGGAGCGAAAGCGUGGGGAGCGAACAGGAUUAGAUACCCCAGUAGUCCCUGUCUCUUAUAC